ACUCUCUGGAGGACGCAAAUUGGUUGCUCUGGAGAUGGCGGCGAUUGGUUGAAGGACGCCUUGGGGCGGUCCCUCCAAAAGAAAGGUGUCGUCCCCCCCGAACUUGCCUAGGGCGAGACCUCGAGUGGAGGGGGUGAAGCCACAGCCACAGAAGCCCCACCCCAUCUGUCUGCCUGGAUGCGGGUGAGGGGGAAGCAAACCGGCUCCUCCUUGGGGGAACCUUAACAAGACUCGGCAACGCGCAGGCGCCUUAUGGCGCUUUGAAGGAAGGCGGCCGCCGAUUGGUUGCUCUUGGGAAGGCGGCGAUUGGCAGGACCACCUUUGGAACCAGCUGAGUUUCUGGCAAAAAGGGCGCGAAACCUCCACUUCCGGAAACUAAACGGAGAACGGGGAAACUGCCAGAAUCCGCGACAGAAGAGACCGGAUGAUGCAGAAGGACGGAGGAGGAAGGAAGCGCCGCCCAAUAGCAGGAGGUGCUGUGGCUGAAUCUACAGCUGAUUUGGCCUUCAUUGUGCCAGAUGUGAAAGAGCUUCUCCCUGUUUGAUACAAUUUACAUGGGUUUUGCAAAUGUCAGUAGAGACUCUCCCCAGAUAUCUGAAACUCCUGUCAGUUGGAUUUCCUGGAUGGUCCCCUUGUCUUCCAGCAGAAACCGCUGCAAGGGACAGUUGUCAGGAUAGUUAAAAGUCCCCCAUUUCUAUGCUUUCUUUUGACUUUUCUCUUGCAAAGCCCAUAAGGACUCCUGGCAGGGGGGGGGGUCCAUCCUUGAAGCAGGAGGGAGGGGGAGCAGCCUGGAGAGUAGCCCUCCAUGCCAUCCUUGCAGCCAGCAGGAGGAGGGAAGCCAAGGGAGACAUCUUUGCCUCAGGCCAUCCACUGGGAAGGAGGGGAACUGGGUCAUCGCCUGAAAGGACCUCAAAGGGGACUCGGUAAGAGUCCCCUUUGAGGUCCACAACAGCUUCCCACUCCUGACUUUGCACAUCCUGAGCCCCAACUGGGUUCACAGGCUGACUGCAAGGAAAGUUAACCUGACACCAGCCAGCCGGCCAUGCAAAUGCAGUCGUGAGGACUUCCCUUCCGGGGGUGGGGGUGGGUAUCACAUCUUGGGGAGGGGGGAAAUUGGCUUGGGAGUCAUCAUGAUUGUGCUAUAAAGGGGUCUUAAUGUCUGUAUUUUCCAACAUUUUAAGAAUGCUUUGGACUAGGAUUGAUUUAGGAUGCCAUAUUAUAUGCAAGGAUGCCACCUUAUUUUUUGGCAUACUUUUUGGAUUUUUGUCAUAAAAUAAGAACUAUAGUAUUAUUACUUUACAAGUAUUUAUUUAGAUUUGUUUGCCUCAAGGUGAAUGAUUAAUUUCUAAACUUUGAGGUUUAUGUUUUUUCAUUGACCAAACCCCAAUGGACUGUCCAUGAUUGCAAUAAAGGUUUGAUAAGAUAUCCUUUAUUGUCCAGUUUUCCUGUGAACAUACUGGUACCCAUUAAAAAAUGGAAUUCUGAUACCCACACCAUAGCCUAUUUGGAAUACAUAAUGGAAAAAAGAGAUUUGGGAGUUCACGGGGUUGAUACUUGUUCAUAUGGAAGAAAAGUGACAAUCUAAUAUGCUGCUUCGGAUACCGGAGUCUCUUUUCUCUUCCCAGGAGGUAACACAGCGGUUGUGGAGAGGAUGUGUCGUGUGCCAGAUAAUCCUGCAGAACUUGCUCAUAUCUAGUUAGUACUAUCUGUACAGUUGGGGGCAAUAUAUCCAACUGUCAUGAAAAAUAACUGCAAAAUACAUCCCAGAGACAGUAAGCAUUGUUGGGUCUGCCAGCCCUUCACCCCUCCAGCUGCCUUACCAGCCCCUCCCUCCCUGUAUCCACCUUUUCCUUUCUCAUCCUUCCUUUCUGCCUUCUUAAAAAAAAAAACCCAGCAGAGGGGGAAAUCCCCUUCAAUACUGCCCUCUUUUUAUUUGGAAGGGACUCGGGUCACCUGGAGUCACUGGGAGUUAGGCUGCUCCCCAAAUUUAAUAAAAAGUCACACCUAAAUAAAUGGGCAAGUCUCCCAAACUUCCCUGAGGAUCCUGGCUUCUCUUUCAGGUACGCAGGACACAAUCUCAAAAAACUCCUCAUCCUGGAGUCUUGAUAGUGAAGUGAUCUGGGUGCUACAACCAUAAAGAUAUAAAGAGUUGUUUUUUCUCCUUUGCUAUAUGUAGCGAUGAGCAUCCUGCACUGGAUACGUUGGUUCCUAGGGAUAACUUUGCACAUCAGCUCACAGAUGUCCUAUUCAGCCCAGCCCCCCCUCAAGAAAAUUCUAGAACCAUAGAAGGGAAAAGGCCUAGAACAGAGAAGGAGAAGGCUGAGGCAAAGUCUAAGAAAGCAAGUUAAUUCACAGCAAGUUAAACGGAAUAUGUGAUCCUGUUGCUUCACAUCUUAGGCUUUAUCAUAAAUUUAAAAUGACAUAUUAGCCCUUUUAAUGUGACAUUCUUAACCUUUAAAAAACCUCUUUUUAAAGUUUAAGAUGCAUGUUUUCCCCUUCUUUACUAAGGCUUUUUAUUUGGUAUGUGAGAACAAAAGUAUUCUGAAAGUGUUUGAAUACAACUGCAACUUUCAAGAAAUACAAACCCUGGUAUAAAAGACUAAUGAAACACAUAAAUUUGUCAUUUAUGGAAUGUUAUCUAGAACCAAUGUCUUCUGUUGUUUAAACUUCACAAGCAUUCAGUGUAUUUUAUUGUUUCAUCAUUUGUUUCCUGACAGUGAAUAUGUGUCAUUUGUUUCUGUACACUCUUUAAAAACAUUAGUUUUGCUUCGCUUGAAUUACUUGAUGGUCUGUAUUUGCAGAGGUAAAAGUCUCAAAUUCAAGAAAUCAAGUUCUUUUCAAUUCCACACCACACUUGGGGCCUGAGUUUGGAGAUUAGACAUGAUUUAAGAUGAUCGACAAAUAAAUAAAAGUAAUAGAAAAAGAGCAGAGUUCUCAUUUUCUCCCUGGUAACCAACUUACCUCUUGGAAGGCAUCUUCAACAGUGCUGGGUUUGUACCGGUUUUGCUACCAGUUCGUUCGUGUGCUCUCUCGUGUGCGUGAUGUCUGCACUACCGGUUCAGCCGAACUGGGAGCAACCCACCUCUGAUAUUUACUCUGAUAACGGGCAGUUUAGCCUGCAUGAAUGAUGUCAUAAAGGCAUCAGAAUUCCAAAGGAGACGAUAGGCGGCCUAUCAAACCUCACCCGUUCUACCUUUUUUUAGCAGUUUUUUUUAAUUUUUCCCUUCUACAACACCUUACAGUCAUUACAUCAACAUUGUUAUGUCAUCAUACCUGUACAUGUUUCACGUCUACCUUUUCUACAUACCCCAAUGCUAGGCAAAUAUCUGUAGGAGGUGACCAAACCAAUUAUUAAAGUUGCCCAUUUCUCUCAAAAGGCAGAUUAUUGGGUGUAGACUGCCCCUUUGCAGGGAAGCUUCCCUAAGACUCAUUUAUACAGUCUCAGGUCAACCUCCCAUUGCAUUCCCUUUCUGUUGCCAUGCUGUUUUGUGUUUUGUAACAUCAUCCCAGGUAAGUGGCCUCUAUUUCUGCUUAGGUGAGAAUCCAGUAAUGCAGCCAUCCACGACAGGAAAAAAAAUCCUGUCACCCUUGAACAACUUUCAAAAGAAAAUGCUGCGUAGGUUAAUGAUGCUGAACCCCCCCCCAAGGCACAUGACUUUCUUUUGCCAAGUUCCAAAUAUUGAGGGAUCCAGCAAUUAAAGAGACUCAGAAAAAAAUCCAACUUAGAUCUUAUCAAAAUUGCACAAUUUUAUGCUCCUUUUUCCACACAAUAAUGUGUUGGAAUGAGAGGAAAUUCACCAGCAGGAACCAUUGGAAGGACCUUAAAGAGGCCAAUGAAGAAUUCUCCCCUCCCCACAAUUACUCAGACAUACAUCAUGACUGAAGAUCCUUCCACACACAGGCAAGUUUAUAGUUUUUUCCCCAUGUAAAUCCUUUGAUAUGGAAGGAAGAGCUCUUCACUCAAGGCAUUUACAGGGUUUUUCUCCUCUGUGGAUUCUUUGAUUUGAAUUAAGGGUUUCUUGUGAAGUGAAUUGAAGUGAUUGGAACACAAUACCUCCAAGAUCUCUUCCAUUUAUUAUGGUUGUUAUUCUGUUGCUGUCCAUGUACACCGAGAGCUUCUGCACUGGAGACAUAUUCCUUGCAUGUCUAAUUACACUUGACCAAAUGAAAUAUUUAAUUUGACAUGUAGUUUUAUUACUAUUAUCAUGAUUAUCUCAAAGCUUUUAUAUACAAUGAGUUUAUGCACCGAAGACGGAUUCCUUGUGUAUCCAAUCAGACUUGGCCAAUAAAUAAUUCUAUUCAUUCUACUCUCAAUUACUCAGACAAAACGUUUUUCCAUACUCAGACAAGUUUAUAGUUUUUUCAUGUGAAUCCUUUGAUA
Thamnophis elegans (Western terrestrial garter snake) is the source of this 4381-nucleotide long non-coding RNA. RefSeq lists it as uncharacterized. The transcript is spliced from 2 exons. The record is from RefSeq and is a predicted model, not a curated record. Lineage: Eukaryota; Metazoa; Chordata; Lepidosauria; Squamata; Natricidae.